This is a long non-coding RNA of Harpia harpyja (harpy eagle), 3824 nucleotides long. RefSeq lists it as uncharacterized. NCBI's taxonomy places the organism in Eukaryota, Metazoa, Chordata, Aves, Accipitriformes, Accipitridae. The transcript is spliced from 5 exons. The record is from RefSeq and is a predicted model, not a curated record.
UAGGCCCAUUUGCGUUACUGGAAGAGAUCUCCCUGUACACCUGUGAGGUUUCAAGUAACUUACAAUAUGAAGCGUCAGUGACUUCAGUGGGACUUGGGCUAUCCCAGUUAAAUUGCAUGCAUGAUGACAUAUCAGUCAGCAUGAUAGGGCUUUAUUUCUGCAAGCAGAAACCCCUUAUGCACUGUGUUAUGGAAAUUAUUGCUCCAUGCCAAGAAACUUUAUGUUACUCCAUCAGGCGCAACUCUGUUCCUCUGACUCUCUGUGAAUAUUUUCUAGCAAAGUAAUGCAAACAUCCUUACCAUCAAGAAGGCUAGGCAGGGUAGUACUAAAGGUUCCUGUGGAGGAGAAAAAUGCCCUAAAGAAUUUGUUUGGCUUUGGCAGCUGAGGGAUGGGGCAUGACGAGCAAUCCUUGCCACCCAUGGCACGCACUUUGAAUUCAUUUUUAAGCCUGCUUCAGUUCACUCCUCAAAUAACAGUGCUUUUCUUUAAAAUAUAAUGAACUGUGUUGCAUUUAUGAGACCUGCAUGGUCAAAUCAUGUUGCUCCUGUCACCCUGCUGAAUGCCAUGUCACACUGCCAAUGUUUGGACUGAGCACUGACUGCUAGCUUCGGCAAGACUGGAAAGGAAAGGAAGACCUGGACACGCUGACUACAUCUAAACUAUUAAAUAAAAUUAGUCAGAGACUUCUCCUGGAGGCCAACUGGCAUGAAAGAGCUUGCAUUCACACAGCUAAACUCUCUCACCCUCCAAAUCACAGUGGCCACAUCCAAAAUACCUAUUGGAGAUGGUCCCUGACCCAGGUUAAUACCUAAACUGUGCUUUGGCAUUGUCUGGAAGAGCACAAGCAGCCUUGGGCGAAAACUAUGCCAGGGACUAAUUUAGUAGUAUGGACGGUUUCAGGCCCAUGCCUUACCGGUCCUGUGUAGUUUAUUUAGUGUCAGAGUGAAACCUCAGUAAUUCUGCCAGAAGUCAACAGAAACCCCCUAUUGGCCUCAGUGGCCAGAAGCCCCUGAGAAGUAUAAUCAUUAGUUUGUUCACCUCUUUCACAUCUGGAUUCUUUUUUCUCUCAUUCUGUUUUUUGCCAAAUGAGUACUGAAAUGAACGUUUUUUAAAUCUCAUAGAGUAACAGAAUUGGGUUGUUGCCUGCUCAAAACUUGUUGUUAGUUUUGAACUACUGAGAGGUUUUUCACACAAGCUGAGAUUCUGGAAAAGCCACCUUCAGCUCUCUUCCCCGAUGGAGGAUCUCCUACGGCUUUGAGCAAGUGACUAAGAUCUUCUGUGACUCAACACCCCAUUUGGAUAAAAGGGUAAAAAGCUGUGAGGUGUCGAGAUACAAACACACCAGGUGCCCAAGGUCACAUAAGCACGCUGAACUGAUGUGAACAUAAAAAUCCCUUUGACUUCCGUGGCAACUUUUUUCACAUGUCUGGGAAGGGAAUUUGUUUUAAACCCUGCAAAAUGGACAUGAGUGCAUUCACCCCUAUAUCAUGAUGUUUUCACAGUCAGAGCACUGGGAGUGGGUUUGGAUAAGCCUGAAGUGUCCUGAAGUGUGAGAUAAUUUGGGGAGCUGGUGCUCUGUGUUUCUAGGGCUAACUCUGUGUACCUGGUACCCCAAUUAUCCCAUGUAACACUGUCCUUCAUGGUACUAUGCUAUACUUCCAUCUGCAGCAAUAUAAAUAAGAAUCAGGCAGUUCAUGCUAUAAUAUUUUUCUCUAUUCUAAAGAUAAACGGCAGUGAAGGCCAAGUAGGUUUAAAAAGAUCAUCAUACAAAAUUAUUAUAUUAGGCCAUGCUGUAUUACUGAGAUUACAGAAAAUUACAUACAUGUAUUGAAUUAAACCAUGAUUUUCCAAUGAUCUCAGCAGCAGCAGCAGAAUUGGGACUUUUUAAUCAUUGCAUUAUCAGUUUGGUAGGUAACUACUAUACUGAAUUGCUGCUCAAAAUGAAAAACUGUAUUGUUUUAUCCAGAAGGUUUCUGGUUUCUAGCACUAGCCUUUACUUUUCUUAGAGUUCAGACAUAUGAUUGAAUUACUGAAGCUAACAAGUACUGAUUUCAACAACAUUUAAGCUAACACAUAUUUUGCCUCAGGUUUGCUACAGGCUAAGAGUGUGCUGUUAAUGGGGUCAUUUGAUGUGCAACACCUUGCUGAACUAUGAGAACUCGAUUGUGUGCUUUUGCCCAAUGUUCCUUUUAGGGUAAAAAGACCCUUUGUUUUUUAAUUGACCUAUCCAUGGAUCCGUCUCAUAAAAGAGGCUAUGGAGCCUGAUAUGUACAUAGUCAUACCUGGCCUGGGCUGUGCGAAUCUUAAUGAAAUUGUUAUGAAGAAAAGAAUAGAGUUGUUGCCCAGAAUGAUUUACUUAGAAAUCAAUCUUUUUUUUUUUCUGAGCUGGAUUUUGAAAAGCAGGAAGUAUGUCAAAGCAGAGGUGGAACAUUUGACCUAACCUACCUUUGGCCCCCUUUCCCUUCCCUUUCCGCGUUGCCCCUCAAGCCUGAAGCACUCUCCCAUAGAUGCUGGCAUAUGGCAGUUGCUCUAUUCAGACCUAGUGAGACCACUGCUCAGUUAACAUUUGCAAGGCCAUAAUGUGUUUAUUUUUGCAGUCUGAUCUUGCGAGAAGCCGAGGAGGGCUUGCAUCUCCCUCCUACUGAUAACAGUAGUGUUGAAAGUGCUCAGUGCAUUCUAGGGUAAAGCCUUGAACGUUGGGGGUUAGAGAGUUGCUAACGCUCCUUUGGUCUUCACUGAGGGAAAGCCUGGCUCUCCAUUAAACAAAACACAAAACAAAAGAAAAGAACAAAACCCCAACACAAUAGUUGUAGUGGCCCAAAUAAAACAUAAAAAGCUCAGUCUCAGCCCAAGCACUCAGUUUGGGGAUCCUCUGGAAUUAGAGGCUUGAAGCUUGACCCAGGGAUGAGUAUCUCCAUGGUCUUUUUAUGGGCAGAAGUGUGCAGGCUCUGCCCAUGUGUGAAUGGCCUGUGGUGUGCGAGGACAUAGCCCAGUGGCCCAAACUGGUAUUCCCUGCCUGCUGGCAGAGGGUAUCACCACAGACUUGAUGCUUACUCACACUGCUCAGGCUCUGAGCUGUGUUAUGCAGCCAUCAGCCCAGGCUUCACCUCAGGCUCUUUUUGACCCUCUUUUUACUUUUUACUUUUUAAAAACUUGAUCCUUUCAGCUUAUAUUCUCCCUCUAACAAUUCUUUCUCUUUGUUUUUUUUUUCUCUCUACUUCCACAAACUGAACAACUGUCUUUGCCAAGCUCCCCACUCUACCAUCUAUCCACCCCAUAUGUUUAUAUUUUCCUAUUGCUGAGGCACGUUGCACUGACCUGCCUGGACAGAGCUCCUUUAUCACGGAGAUAAACAUGAUGUCCCCCUCACAUAGAGUUUCUAUCAUGUGUGACCUUUCAUCUUGAACUGCCAUGACCUUUUUUUUAUUAAUGCUGUACUGUGCUGCUUGCAGAAGCCAGGAAAGAAAAUCUUUUGUUUCUAGAUAGAAUACUGCUAAAGAACAUGAUACGGUCUUGUUUUUAAUCCAGCUAAUUAAAAUCUGCAUGUGCAGUGUAACUGAGAAUGCAGCCUUCGCCCACCACUUUCCCACAGGCAGGGAAUAAAGGCCUUUAGUGCAGCAGCAGCUAGCUACCCUUGGAUAACAGAGAACAGAGCCCACAAUUCAUCCCAGCUUUCCUUAUCAUAUCCGUGGAGGGCUUUUCCCUCCCUCCCUCCCUCCCUCCCUCUCCCUUUCUCUCCAUGGAAUCACUUACAGUAGCUAUGCGCCUCUAUACAUCACUUCAGAACGUAAUCAAGUUAAAAAUAUGUUAGCUCGCAUUUAUCU